Molecule: ribosomal RNA, 616 nt
Filed under: uncultured bacterium
Lineage: Bacteria
Description: bacterial SSU rRNA
Rfam family: Bacterial small subunit ribosomal RNA
Source: RNAcentral
UGCAAGUCGAGCGCGCCCUUCGGGGUGAGCGGCGGACGGGUUAGUAACGCGUGGGAAUAUGCCCGACACUAAGGAAUAGCCUCUGGAAACGGAGAGUAAUACCUUAUACGCCCUUCGGGGGAAAGAUUUAUCGGUGACGGAUUAGCCCGCGUUAGAUUAGAUAGUUGGUGGGGUAAUGGCCUACCAAGUCUACGAUCUAUAGCUGGUUUUAGAGGAUGAUCAGCAACACUGGGACUGAGACACGGCCCAGACUCCUACGGGAGGCAGCAGUGGGGAAUCUUGGACAAUGGGCGCAAGCCUGAUCCAGCCAUGCCGCGUGAGUGAUGAAGGCCUUAGGGUCGUAAAGCUCUUUCGCCAGAGAUGAUAAUGACAGUAUCUGGUAAAGAAACCCCGGCUAACUCCGUGCCAGCAGCCGCGGUAAUACGGAGGGGGUUAGCGUUGUUCGGAAUUACUGGGCGUAAAGCGCGCGUAGGCGGAUUAGUCAGUUAGAGGUGAAAUCCCGGGGCUCAACCCCGGAACUGCCUUUAAUACUGCUAGUCUUGAGUUCGAGAGAGGUGAGUGGAAUUCCGAGUGUAGAGGUGAAAUUCGUAGAUAUUCGGAGGAACACCAGUGGCGA